CCUACGUGUGGCUGCAGUGAGGAAUAUUGGUCAAUGGGCGCGAGCCUGAACCAGCCAAGUAGCGUGAAGGAUGACUGCCCUACGGGUUGUAAACUUCUUUUAUACGGGAAUAAAGUGAGGCACGUGUGCCUGUUUGCAGGUACUUUAUGAAUAAGGACCGGCUAACUCCGUGCCAGCAGCCGCGGUAAUACGGAGGGUCCGAGCGUUAUCCGGAUUUAUUGGGUUUAAAGGGAGCGUAGACGGGUUUUUAAGUCAGUUGUGAAAGUUUGCGGCUCAACCGUAAAAGUGCAACUGAUACUGGCGGUCUUGAGUACAGUUGAGGCAGGCGGAAUUCGUGGUGUAGCGGUGAAAUGCUUAGAUAUCACGAAGAACCCCGAUUGCGAAGGCAGCCUACCGAACCGUUACUGACGCUGAAGCUCGAAAGUGUGGGUAUCAAACAGGAUUAGAUACCCGAGUAGUC
RNAcentral lists this ribosomal RNA (460 nucleotides) under uncultured bacterium. RNAcentral describes it as "partial 16S ribosomal RNA". It matches the Rfam family "Bacterial small subunit ribosomal RNA", at positions 338 to 795 of the family's 1533-position model. The record is from RNAcentral.